AAAAGCAGGAUGAUUAGGACAAACAAGUACAAGAUAUUGCCAAUCAAAUAUGGAAUUUCUUGUAAUGAGGGACUAAAUUUGAUAAUUUCAUUCGCGUACACGUUUAUUGGUCUUUGUAGAGGAUGACCAAGGAUAUGCAUGUCAACUUCCAUCCACAACAAAGAAGAGAGGUUGCCUCUAAUCAUCCUGCUUUUACCUGCCAUUUUUACCGAUCAUCGAUGGGUUCUGGAGACACUUUACUACAUCAUUUACAGGUUUUAAUUUUAUUCAAAUGUUCAAUGGGAGCUUGUAAUCAAGCAUCUCCCUUAUAUUUAACCGAAUUGACGGCCCCAUUGAUGAGCAUAUGUGCGCACUUUUCCAAUACACUCCUUUUGCACCUGAUGGCUUGUUUGAUUCUACUGAUCUUACUGCAGCAAGCAAGUUUAAGAGGAGGUCUUCUUCUGAGAAGUCGACCUUUCCAAAAGGUAUGUGAACAAUUCCGGUUUUAUCUGCCCUAUAUUCAACUUUUCCCUUCUUGAACUCUGCUAUUGCCUGAGGUAUGUUAGUUGCAACAGUACCAGCUUUUGGAUUUGGCAUGAGUCCCCGAGGUCCUAAAAUCUUACCUAAGCUGGCAACCUUAGGCAUCAUGUCUGGGGAUGCAAUUAAUUUGUCAAAGUCAAUGAAUCCUCCUUUUAUCUGUUCUAUCAGGUCCUCCCCACCAACCAAAUCUGCUCCUGCAUUUUUUGCUUCAUCGAACUUUUCACCUUGUGUAAGCACUGCCACUUUAACAGUUUGUCCAGUUCCCUUGGGCAAAUUUACAGUUGCCCUCAGCUGUUGGUCAUUAUAUUUGGGAUCAAUGUUAAGACGGAAAUGAGCUUCAGCAGUUUCAACGAACUUUGAGUUUGCCAUUUGCUUCAGCAAUGAUAUUGCUGCAUUUAUGUCAUAUUCUUGCUUGUUUUCCCUCAAUUUUUGAAUUUCCAAGAAUCUCUUAGAUCUUGUCUGGCAUUUCCACGAAAAGGGUAUGAAGCUGAGUUCUUGAAAGUGUAUAAGAAUCCUGUCUCUCUUCAAGGGCAAUGCAGCCCUUCCCUUUCUUAGGCUUAGGUGGAGCAACUGUAGCGGUGGCCACAUCACCUCCCUCUCUCCCCUCCAACUCCUCAGCCACCUCUGCCUCUGCAGCCAAAGCAGCAGCCACAACCACACUGCAAGUUCCAAACUUUGCCUCUUUUUGUGUAAACAAAUUGACGAACUUGCUUGAUUUUCUCUCCCCACCAGAACCCAGAGCCCAUGGAUAGAGAGAAAAAGUUCUGGGCUUGAAGGAGAGAAGGGAAGGAGUGAGCUCUUGUGGAUGUACUGUGGUGGAGGCGUACGUUGGCAUUAAGGAAGAGGGUGUUGUACAGGUUGCCAUUGUUGUUGGUUUCGCUUAAGC
RNAcentral lists this unclassified non-coding RNA (1405 nucleotides) under Hevea brasiliensis (rubber tree). Lineage: Eukaryota; Viridiplantae; Streptophyta; Magnoliopsida; Malpighiales; Euphorbiaceae. The record is from RNAcentral.